AGUAUUAAGUAUUGUUUUAUGGCUGAUAAAUUUCUUUGAAUUUCUCCUUGAUUAUUUGUUAUAAAAGUUAUAAAAUAAUCUUGUUGGAACCAUUCAAAACAGCAUAGCAAGUUAAAAUAAGGCUAGUCCGUUAUCAACUUGAAAAAGUGGCACCGAGUCGGUGCUUUUUUU
Molecule: non-coding RNA, 171 nt
Filed under: synthetic construct
Also listed under: 4 other names
Description: tracrRNA
Rfam family: Trans-activating crRNA (bases 82-171)
About the family: RNA-guided Streptococcus pyogenes Cas9 (SpCas9) is a sequence-specific DNA endonuclease, the Trans-activating CRISPR RNA form an hybrid with the crRNA (crRNA/tracrRNA). The RNA hybrid acts as a guide for the endonuclease Cas9.
Source: RNAcentral